RNAcentral lists this ribosomal RNA (229 nucleotides) under uncultured bacterium. RNAcentral's name for it is "partial 16S ribosomal RNA". It matches the Rfam family "Bacterial small subunit ribosomal RNA", at positions 568 to 796 of the family's 1533-position model. The record is from RNAcentral.
UACGUAGGCGGAAAAUUAAGUCAGUAGUGAAAUCCUGCAGCUUAACUGUAGAACUGUUAUUGAUACUGGUAUUCUUGAAUAUAGUUGAGGUAGGCGGAAUGUGUAAUGUAGCGGUGAAAUGCUUAGAUAUUACACAGAACACCGAUUGCGAAGGCAGCUUACUAAGCUAUGAUUGACGCUGAGGUACGAAAGCGUGGGGAGCGAACAGGAUUAGAUACCCUGGUAGUCC